GGAAGUGGCUCAGUUGGUAGAGCACAACCUUGCCAAGGUUGGGGUCGCGGGUUCGAGUCCCGUCUUCC
RNAcentral lists this transfer RNA (68 nucleotides) under Chloroflexota bacterium. RNAcentral's name for it is "Chloroflexi bacterium tRNA-Gly". It matches the Rfam family "tRNA". From Rfam's summary of the family: Transfer RNA (tRNA) molecules are approximately 80 nucleotides in length. The record is from RNAcentral. Lineage: Bacteria; Bacillati; Chloroflexota.